RNAcentral lists this unclassified non-coding RNA (403 nucleotides) under Ascomycota sp. Its description in RNAcentral is "partial contains small subunit ribosomal RNA, internal transcribed spacer 1, and 5.8S ribosomal RNA". The stretch from base 1 to 47 matches the Rfam family "Eukaryotic small subunit ribosomal RNA", at positions 1785 to 1831 of the family's 1831-position model. The record is from RNAcentral. Lineage: Eukaryota; Fungi; Ascomycota.
AAAGUCGUAACAAGGUUUCCGUAGGUGAACCUGCGGAAGGAUCAUUAACACGUAUCCAAACGUUAACCCCCCUGUGAACCAGUUCAAUGUGCUCGUACGCUUUGUCAGAGCGAGGCAAUCCCUGGUAAAUCAUCGCCGAACAGUUUUGAUUCUGGGACUUCCUCAAAGAGUGUGCAUGUUGCGCGAGGCAAGUGGCCUGGCAUUCCCAAGCAGUUAUUGUCUAAAAGUGUCAUUAGCUGUGUAAGGAUGACGCAGUCACGAUCGUUGGAGGCCGACACGGCCGACGACCGGGUCACUGGGCGAAAGCUCCUUUAUCACCCCUUUAUGCAUGUCAGACGUGCCAGCCUUAAUUGAGCGGCAACAAAAAACCGAACAACUGUUAACAAUGGAUAUCUUGGUUCUC